This 670-nucleotide ribosomal RNA is filed under the name Ditylum brightwellii. RNAcentral's name for it is "partial Eukaryotic large subunit ribosomal RNA". It matches the Rfam family "Eukaryotic large subunit ribosomal RNA", at positions 1 to 700 of the family's 3401-position model. Lineage: Eukaryota; Bacillariophyta; Thalassiosirophyceae; Lithodesmiales; Lithodesmiaceae. The record is from RNAcentral.
GACCUGAGCUCAGGCAAGAUUACCCGCUGAACUUAAGCAUAUCAAUAAGCGGAGGAAAAGAAACUAACAAGGAUUCCCCUAGUAACGGCGAGCGAACCGGGAAGAGCCCAGCUUGAAAAUCUCCCUUUGGAGAAUUGUAGUCUAUAGAAGUACUGCCUGCGGCGUGCGCGGCCCAAGUCCCCUGGAAAGGGGCGUCAGAGAGGGUGAGAACCCCGUCGGUCGCGUUUCUGCCGCCUCACGGCGUGCUUUCGCAGAGUCGGGUUGCUUGGGAAUGCAGCCCUAAUUUGGUGGUAAAUCCCAUCUAAGGCUAAAUAUUGGCGAGAGACCGAUAGCGAACAAGUACCGUGAGGGAAAGAUGAAAAGAACUUUGAAAAGAGAGUUAAAAAGUGCUUGAAAUUGUUGAGAGGGAAGCGAUUGGAGGCUAUGGGUGCGCCCAGGCUUAUGCGUCCCUUCGGGGCCGCUGCAUGUGCUGGGCGCUGGUCAGCAAGGUUUGGGCUAACAGGAUAAAAGUCGGGGUUGUUACUCGGCCUAUACUGUUGGCCCGAUCAAGGCGUGAAGACUGCCCUUGUCCUUCGGGAACUGCAGUCUCAAGUUGCUGGCGAAAGGUUUCCAAUCGGCCCGUCUUGUAACACGGACCAAGGAGUCUAACAUGUAUGCGAGUUGGUGGGUG